This 390-nucleotide ribosomal RNA is filed under the name uncultured bacterium. Its description in RNAcentral is "bacterial SSU rRNA". It matches the Rfam family "Bacterial small subunit ribosomal RNA", at positions 28 to 429 of the family's 1533-position model. The record is from RNAcentral.
GACGAACGCUGGCGGCGUGCCUAACACAUGCAAGUCGAACGGGGCAGCAAUGCCCAGUGGCGAACGGGUGCGUAACACGUGAGGAACUUGUCCAUCGGCGGGGGAUAGCCGGCCCAACGGCCGGGUAAUACCGCGUACGUCGGCGAGACCGCAUGGUCUUGCCGGGAAAGCAGCAAUGCACCGAUGGAGAGCCUCGCGGCCUAUCAGCUAGUUGGUGAGGUAAUGGCUCACCAAGGCGACGACGGGUAGCUGGUCUGAGAGGAUGAUCAGCCACAUUGGGACUGAGACACGGCCCAGACUCCUACGGGAGGCAGCAGUGGGGAAUAUUGCGCAAUGGGCGAAAGCCUGACGCAGCGACGCCGCGUGUGGGAUGACGGCCUCGGUUGUAAC